AGUCGAACGGUGAAGGAGAGCUUGCUCUUUGGAUCAGUGGCGAACGGGUGAGUAACACGUGAGCAAUCUGCCCUUGACUCUGGGAUAACUGCGGGAAACUGUAGCUAAUACCGGAUACGACCUUGGAAGGCAUCUUCUGGGGUGGAAAGAAUUUUGGUCAAGGAUGAGCUCGCGGCCUAUCAGCUAGUUGGUGAGGUAAUGGCUCACCAAGGCGACGACGGGUAGCCGGCCUGAGAGGGUGACCGGCCACACUGGGACUGAGACACGGCCCAGACUCCUACGGGAGGCAGCAGUGGGGAAUAUUGCACAAUGGGCGAAAGCCUGAUGCAGCAACGCCGCGUGAGGGACGAAGGCCUUCGGGUUGUAAACCUCUUUUAGUAGGGAAGAAGCGACUGGGUUUUCCUGGAAGUGACGGUACCUGCAGAAAAAGCACCGGCUAACUACGUGCCAGCAGCCGCGGUAAUACGUAGGGUGCAAGCGUUGUCCGGAAUUAUUGGGCGUAAAGAGCUCGUAGGCGGUUUGUCGCGUCUGCUGUGAAAACCCGAGGCUCAACCUCGGGCCUGCAGUGGGUACGGGCAGACUAGAGUGCGGUAGGGGAGAUUGGAAUUCCUGGUGUAGCGGUGGAAUGCGCAGAUAUCAGGAGGAACACCAAUGGCGAAGGCAGAUCUCUGGGCCGUAACUGACGCUGAGGAGCGAAAGCAUGGGGAGC
Molecule: ribosomal RNA, 709 nt
Filed under: uncultured bacterium
Lineage: Bacteria
Description: bacterial SSU rRNA
Rfam family: Bacterial small subunit ribosomal RNA
Source: RNAcentral